CCGUGGAUUAGUGGCGAACGGGUGAGUAACACGUGAGUAACCUACCUUCCACUCUGGGAUAAGCGCUGGAAACGGCGUCUAAUACUGGAUAUGACAUUGCCUCGCAUGGGGUGGUGUGGAAAGAUUUUUGGUGGUAGAUGGACUCGCGGCCUAUCAACUUGUUGGUGGGGUAAUGGCCUACCAAGGCGACGACGGGUAGCCGGCCUGAGAGGGUGACCGGCCACACUGGGACUGAGACACGGCCCAG
This 247-nucleotide ribosomal RNA is filed under the name uncultured Actinomycetales bacterium. RNAcentral's name for it is "partial 16S ribosomal RNA". It matches the Rfam family "Bacterial small subunit ribosomal RNA", at positions 85 to 334 of the family's 1533-position model. Lineage: Bacteria; Bacillati; Actinomycetota; Actinomycetes; Actinomycetales. The record is from RNAcentral.